UUCCAGGUGGUCUAGUGGUUAGGAUACCUAACUUUCACUUAGGUGGCCCUCGUUCGAUUCCGGGCGUGGGAA
Caerostris darwini is the source of this 72-nucleotide non-coding RNA. The record is from the annotation of a GenBank genome assembly. Lineage: Eukaryota; Metazoa; Arthropoda; Arachnida; Araneae; Araneidae.